AAGAAAAAGAAGAAAAAGAAAAAAUUGUUCCUUAGACAAAGAGUGAUGAAUUAGUUAUCAAAGAAUUAGAUGAAGAAAAAGAUAAAGCAAAAACGUGGAUACAAGACUACUUUGCAGAAGAUGAUGAUGAUGAUGAUGAUAAAGAUAAAGAUAAAGAUGAUGAUGGUGGUGAAAAAAAAGAUGAUAAUAAUAACACGAGUAAUAAUACCACUUCAACAGACAAAGGACAAUAAAAUCCACAAUUUUAUGAAAAAUAAAUUUUACUUACAACUUUUGCAGUCACUAUGCGACUGCCGUGACUUGUGAACUAUAAAUA
Molecule: long non-coding RNA, 316 nt
Organism: Cotesia glomerata
Lineage: Eukaryota; Metazoa; Arthropoda; Insecta; Hymenoptera; Braconidae
Exons: 4
Source: RefSeq, a predicted model, not a curated record